AGAAUCAACGCUGGCGGCGUGCCUAACACAUGCAAGUCGAACGAGAAAGUGGAGCAAUCCAUGAGUAAAGUGGCGACCGGGUGAGUAACACGUGACUAACCUACCUUCGAGUGGGGGAUAACCUCGGGAAAACCGAGGCUAAUACCGCAUAACAUCGCAAGAUCAAAGCAGCAAUGCGCUGGAAGAGGGGGUCGCGGCUGAUUAGCUAGUUGGCGGGGUAAUGGCCCACCAAGGCGAAGAUCGGUAGCCGGCCUGAGAGGGCGCACGGCCACACUGGAACUGAAACACGGUCCAGACUCCUACGGGAGGCAGCAGUGGGAAUUUUGCGCAAUGGGGGAAACCCUGACGCAGCAACGCCGCGUGGAGGAUGAAGCCCCUUGGGGUGUAAACUCCUUUCGACCAAGACGAUAAUGACGGUACUGGUGGAAGAAGCACCGGCUAACUCUGCGCCAGCAGCCGC
This 460-nucleotide ribosomal RNA is filed under the name uncultured bacterium. RNAcentral describes it as "SSU rRNA". It matches the Rfam family "Bacterial small subunit ribosomal RNA", at positions 26 to 518 of the family's 1533-position model. The record is from RNAcentral.